UGUUGUGUAUGUUAAAUUAAUCAAAGGGAAACAUGUCACUUCUACCAUGAAUAAUUAUGUUUUGUGAUUGGGCAUAAUGAAGUUAUGUAACUUUGGCAUGAUGCCCAAUAACCAACGACUUCCCAAAUCCAGUAAUGUUGUCACAACCUAAUUCCUUUGGAUAAGAUGACCAAUGGCUUUUACAACGCCAGAACAGAUGGUGGCAGUAGUGUGCGGAUUGUGUGUGGCAGCCGGAAACAACGAGCUUGCCGAGUUCUUUGACUGAAUACAUAUCCGCGGACACUCUGAAGGCGGCAUUCAAGAUGUUUGUAGGGUCCUCACCUCAGCUACCUCUCACAAGGUGCCCCUGAAAAAGAAAUUCAAGACGUUUGGGUCCUCAGCUCAACUGACCAAGACCUUUGCUCAUUGAAGGCAUGAAGUAAUUUGUGAUGCCCCCACGAUUGCAGUUUUUAAAUCCAGAUGGCUUGCUCUUUUUAACAUGUGCGAGAGCUGGAUGGUCUUUCAACAACACUGCUCCGGGUCUUCAGCAAGAAAGGAGCUUCUCAUGCAAGGAAGACACAGAGGAUCCUGGUGCCCAUGACUCAGACUGACAACAUUGAUGUGAACAGGGAGUGCAUGCUGAGGAGCUGACGGUCUACCUGAAUGAAGAGCCAGACAAAGUGGAUGUUGAUCUGGACGGUCCAGCUGAAACGUAUUGUCUUCGUGUGCGUGUGAUCGGCAGAGAGUCCGCAACGACAUUGGUAACGUACCUGUGGCCAUUGCAGUGAUUGUUUUGGUUUAU
Long non-coding RNA from Engraulis encrasicolus (European anchovy), 781 nucleotides. RefSeq lists it as uncharacterized. The record is from RefSeq and is a predicted model, not a curated record. NCBI's taxonomy places the organism in Eukaryota, Metazoa, Chordata, Actinopteri, Clupeiformes, Engraulidae. The transcript is spliced from 6 exons.